GACGAACGCUGGCGGCGUGCUUAACACAUGCAAGUCGAACGGUGAAGGGGCCUGCUUUUGUGGGCCCUGGAUGAGUGGCGAACGGGUGAGUAACACGUGAGUAACCUGCCCCCUUCUUCUGGAUAACCGCAUGAAAGUGUGGCUAAUACGGGAUAUUCUGGGUCUGUCGCAUGAUGGGUCUGGGAAAGAUUGCGCCUUUGGGUGUUUUUGGUGGGGGAUGGGCUCGCGGCCUAUCAGCUUGUUGGUGGGGUGAUGGCCUACCAAGGCGGUGACGGGUAGCCGGCCUGGGAGGGUGGACGGUCACACUGGGACUGAGACACGGCCCAGACUCGUACGGGAGGCAGCAGUGGGGAAUAUUGCACAAUGGGCGCAAGCCUGAUGCAGCGACGCCGCGUGAGGGAGGGAGGCCUUCGGGUUGUAAACCUCUUUCGCCAGUGAAGCAGGCCUGGUCCUUGUGGGUGGGUUGACGGUAGCUGGAUAAGAAGCGCCGGCUAACUACGUG
This 502-nucleotide ribosomal RNA is filed under the name uncultured bacterium. RNAcentral describes it as "partial 16S ribosomal RNA". It matches the Rfam family "Bacterial small subunit ribosomal RNA", at positions 28 to 507 of the family's 1533-position model. The record is from RNAcentral.